GACACCGAUCCUGCGCUCAAAGUCCCCCGAUGGCGAAAAGGCGACCCGAAUUCAACUUUAGGACCCCAAUCCCUCCUGGAAACGGGUGGUAAUGCCGAAUGUGCCCUUCGGGGGAAAGAUUUAUCGCCUUUAGAGCGGCCCGCGUCUGAUUAGCUAGUUGGUGAGGUAAUGGCUCACCAAGGCGACGAUCAGUAGCUGGUCUGAGAGGAUGACCAGCCACAUUGGGACUGAGACACGGCCCAAACUCCUACGGGAGGCAGCAGUGGGGAAUCUUGCGCAAUGGGCGAAAGCCUGACGCAGCCAUGCCGCGUGAAUGAUGAAGGUCUUAGGAUUGUAAAAUUCUUUCACCGGGGACGAUAAUGACGGUACCCGGAGAAGAAGCCCCGGCUAACUUCGUGCCAGCAGCCGCGGUAAUACGAAGGGGGCUAGCGUUGCUCGGAAUUACUGGGCGUAAAGGGCGCGUAGGCGGACAUUUAAGUCAGGGGUGAAAUCCCAGAGCUCAACUCUGGAACUGCCUUUGAUACUGGGUGUCUUGAGUGUGAGAGAGGUAUGUGGAACUCCGAGUGUAGAGGUGAAAUUCGUAGAUAUUCGGAAGAACACCAGUGGCGAAGGCGACAUACUGGCUCAUUACUGACGCUGAGGCGCGAAAAGCGUGGGGAGCAAACGGAU
This 669-nucleotide ribosomal RNA is filed under the name uncultured Brevundimonas sp. RNAcentral describes it as "bacterial SSU rRNA". It matches the Rfam family "Bacterial small subunit ribosomal RNA", at positions 70 to 777 of the family's 1533-position model. Lineage: Bacteria; Pseudomonadati; Pseudomonadota; Alphaproteobacteria; Caulobacterales; Caulobacteraceae. The record is from RNAcentral.